GGAUGUGAGGACUGUCUGGCUGUGAUAUCUGUCACCCUAUUGAUCGCCAGGGUUGAUUUGGCUGAUUUGGCUGGCUAGGCGGGUGUCCCCUUCCUCCCUCAUCGCUCCAUGUGCCUCCCUCCAGAUAGAAGAGGACGGCCUUCCCCUAAUAGAGACAGACGGUCUUCAGUCGAGGGUAUAUGAGUAGCUGCACUCCCCUGCUAGAAGUUCCAAACAAGCUCUCUUUUCAGUGCAGUGCUUCUGAAGUAAGUGUCCUAACUACUUAAGUAUGAAUAUCUU
Unclassified non-coding RNA from Erinaceus europaeus (western European hedgehog), 279 nucleotides. Its record names the gene 7SK. It matches the Rfam family "7SK RNA". Rfam says of the family: 7SK was discovered as an abundant small nuclear RNA in the mid-70s but a possible function has only recently been suggested. Two independent studies have found that 7SK RNA binds the CDK9/cyclin T complex (known as elongation factor P-TEFb). P-TEFb activates transcription by phosphorylating the C-terminal domain of RNA polymerase II. NCBI's taxonomy places the organism in Eukaryota, Metazoa, Chordata, Mammalia, Eulipotyphla, Erinaceidae. The record is from Ensembl.